Molecule: ribosomal RNA, 468 nt
Filed under: uncultured bacterium
Lineage: Bacteria
Description: partial 16S ribosomal RNA
Rfam family: Bacterial small subunit ribosomal RNA
Source: RNAcentral
GACGAACGCUGGCGGCGUGCUUAACACAUGCAAGUCGAACGGAAAGGCCCUGCUUUUGUGGGGUGCUCGAGUGGCGAACGGGUGAGUAACACAUGAGGAACCUGCCCUUGUCUGUGUGAUAACUUCAGGAAACUGGGGAUAAUACCGGAUAGGAUAUCUUGCUGCAUGGUGGGGGUUGGAAAGAUUCGGUUGUUCGGGCUGGACUCGCUGCUUAUCCGCUAGUUUGUGGGGUAGUGGCUUACCAAGGCUGUGACGGGUAGCCGGCCUGGGAGCGUGACCGGCGACAAUAGGACUGCGAUACGGCGCAGACUGCUAUGUGACGCAGUAGUGGGGAAUAUUGCACAAUAGGCGGAAGCCUGAUGCAGCAAUCUUGCGUGCGGGAAGACGUCUUUUGGGUUGUAAACAGCUUUCUACGUUAAUGAAGACGUCGUGACGGUAAUGAGUAAAGAAGCACCGGCUAACUACGUG